UCCAUAUUUUUUGGCAUAUGCCAUUUUUUACUUUUGGGUAUCUGUAAACUUUAAGCAUAGAUCCUAACCAAUGUGUCAUCAAUGAAAAAUCGGAACCCUUAAUGGUGGUCACAUUCAUUUAAACAUUUCUAUUUUGCCAGCCUUUAAACCAUUGUCAUGUUUCUGUUGGGUGGUUGUUUACACAGAAGCAAGUGAUUAUUUACUUAAAUUGAGACAGGAGGUAAUGCUCCAAUAAUGGUCUUUGUGUUUGAAACAGAGAAUGAAACAUGUAAGCAUUUCUGCUCAUACUCUGCUUGGAGAAUCCCUUUUAAAAAUAAAAGUAAAGCAAUGCAAAAUAAAAAAAUUACUAUUUUUAUUUAGUUUUACACUGUUUUUUUUCUAAAACAUUCGCAGAAGAAGUCAAUGUUUUUCCAGUCAGCUGAACAGUUAGCUUCGGACUCCAGAACCAACUAAUCUGGAUUCACAAUAAAUGAAGAUGCCAAAAGAGUUAUCUACUCUGGAAAGAAACACAGAAGAGAGAGCUGUCAUCUUUCCUCUGCCAACGGGAUAUAUAUAGCAAGUAGGUUCUCUUAAAAGUCAAGAUGAAAACAUUUGCUUUGUUUUCAGUGCGUAGCUGUAACACGGCUUUGAAACCUGAAGCAGGGAAAAGAUGCUCCUUCAUGUCUCCCUCAGUAAGCAGGAGAAUAACGAACAACAAGAAGGUUCCUCUGAAAUGCCUGACCUAAUAUUUGACAGAUCGUCAAGAGAUUUGUAUCCAGGGACCAAAACCAGGUUUACAGUCAAGAUUCGCUCAUAUUAUAUUUUAUUGUAGGAUUUUAUUGAGUUUCUUUAUACGGACCACCAAUAUAAAAUGAUCUAAACUGAUUUCUCACGUUCUUUUCUGAGCUGUCCUUUACUUUAAACAAGGCACAGCCAAUCAAAGCCAGUCCUCGCUUCCUAACCGCUGGAGUCAGACUCACACAGCCGUCCUGCAGCAAACCGCCAGCAGUCAUAGCAGAGCCAUUGCACUCUGUGUCCAUAGUGCAAAUGCAUCACACAUUUGCAAAGCUGUAAAACGCUAUUGAUCAAUGCUUUCCACGCUCACAAUACCCACUCCUGAUUCACAACAAGGAGUUGUGAGUGAGAUGAUUUUAUACCCAAAUGUGACCAAGCUGUACCAAAUGGAAAUUCGACUGCAGUAGCCACUGUUCAACUCAAGGAGGGCAGCCUUAAGCUGGUUUUAGGCCAAAUAUUGCAGCAUUAGACAAAUUUACAAGAAAAUGUUGCAAUUUGAUCAGAAACCAUAAAAUAGCACCCUUCAGGACUUAUGCAAUUUAUCUGCAAAAUGUUGAUUUGGGACUUAGUUACUCUAAAUCCCAAGCUGUCUUGAGUUGACCCCCUUUUUCAGGGCUAAGUACUUCUCUUCAAUAUAUAUUUCCCUAACUGUAAAUCCAAGUAAUACUACAAAAAUGCAAUGAAACAUAAAUCACAUCAUUGACCAUCAUAUAACCUAAUAAAAGAACAUUAAACAGCUGCUGUCAAGAAGCUGUUCAUAAUGAAUUAUGACAGGCUUUCAUUAAUGUUUCCACUGCACUUUACUGUCUACCUGCUGUUUUUGUAUACCUAUCUGUGCACUCGGGUCCUCAUUUUAACCUACAUUUCUGACAGAGGCUGCAAAUGACUUAAGACUAGGGCUGGUUCACUUUCCAGCAGGACAUUACCUUAAACAAACAGCCAGAGCUACAAUGAAAAAGGUUAGAUUAAAGCAUGUUAAUGUCUUAGCCCAAUAGAAGAACAGACCUAAAAUUGAACAUCAUCCACACUUUAUCAUUGCUGUUCUCCUUUCAAUGUGAAUGAGCCUGAGAUCUUUGGAGUCAAAGAAAAGUGUAGAAAUUACACUUUCUACAUAGCUGGUAGAAACUGUUAGGGUACGAGUACAGAUGCAUGUCACACUUUUUUUUCCGUAAAAGCCAUGUAUCAUUUCCCUUUCACUUCACAGCUAUCCACUUCUUCAUGUUGGUCUAUCUAAAAUCCCAAUAAAAUACAUGAAAAAUACAUGGCAAAAUGUGAAAAAGCUCUAGGCGUGUAAAUUUAAUCUUGCAAAGCAUUGUAACUCAUCUGUUCAUUUUGGUAGCUCUAUAACUUACUCCAGUUCUUUUUUUCCUUUCUUCUUUUUGCAAAGCCAGCUGCAUUAGUUGGCAGGUGAGAAUGAAACAAAAAUAUUGAUUCAGGACAAACAAGUAGCUGCUGACUGCCUGACUAGGCAGAACUUUAAACGUAAACAGAAUAAAAAUAGCAGCAUUGAUUGUAGCAAACAGCCACUACCACACUGACGUGGACACAACUGGUAAGUAAAUAAAAUGCUCUGAUUCAAAUAUAAAAUGAAGGAGCACUGUUGGGACUGUUUGUUAUGUGUCACUUUAGAUUUGCUGAGUAAAUCCCUGCGCCCCAUCCCUUUACCUUCUCAUAAGGCUCAACAUACCCCAGUUCUCAGAGGAGCUAAUCUCACUAAGUAAUCUUAAAGAUGCACGAACACGGAGGGGGAAAGUCCUGGCUUCGGAACUUAAAGAUGCACAACACAAAACUCCAAAUACUGUAUGCAUGCAUUUAUUAAUCCUUUCUGGCAAGUAAUCUUGCAAUGUUUAUGCACCGGGCUAAUCUUCAUUUCCUCUGCUGGGGGACUGAGGACGAGACGCCCACUUGCAGGUAAGCCUCGUUCCCAAGUGCCGGCCAUAGCUGCUAAUCCUAGUUCCAGAUAUGGAUGAGACAAACUGGAGAAACAGAGAGGGGAUUUUAAUGUUGACAUGUGUUUGCGUCAGUUUGGAUGCGUGACUGGAAAGCAGACGACAACAGAAAAGCAGACUUUGAUGAGUUUUAAAUGUCAGUGAUUUAUGUUUUUAAACAGGUCAAAAUGUCAAAUCUUUAGACAUGUUACUGUCGGUUUAUUUGUAAAGUAAAAUUUUGUAUCAAUAUACAGUGUCAUUGCUACAUUAUGAUUGCAUAUAUUUCAAUAGGAACAUAUAUGAUAGACCAAACAAACUAGUGAACUGUUUUAUAAUUAAAAGGGAAAGGUUUGACACUGUUUUGCAUAUAAAAAUGCAAAACAUUUGCAUCCAAGGGAUGAAAACAUUUGCAAAAUGACUCAAACUCUGUAAAAUAAGACAGACUCCACACAACAUAGUUUGAAUUUAGAUAUGAACUGUCACCAGGUUAUUCUAACAAUUCAAGGUUCCUCCCCAAGGCAAGUCGAGCACAACCCUCAGUUGCUUACUGGUAUUCAUAUUCAAAAUAUGUGUCUACAUUGUAACUACGACUGAGUGACUGUAGCUUUAGUGUGAAGUGCGUUGAGCGGUCUGUGCAGCCAGAAGAGCCAAUUCAAGUUAAGGACAGUUAUCUAAAAGAGCUCCAUUGUAGUUUUGGCUUUAUGCUUCAGGUUGUUGUCCUGCUGCAAGGUGAACCUUCACCUCAGCCUGUAAUAGGUUUUCUUCAGAGUUGACCUGUAUUUUGUGGCAUCAAAGUAAAAAGGAGUCAGUACAAAUUCAACACUUCAGAGAUUUCCGUCUUAUAAAAACAUUUUAUGUUGUGUUGGGCUGUUCAAUAAACACCUAAAUAAAAAUACUUUGAGGAUUGUGGUUGUCGUGACAAAAUGGCAAAAAUGUCAAGUUGCAUACUUUUGGAAAUGAACUAUAAAGGAAUAUUACCUAAUCCAUCAAGUUUGGGUCUGGUUCUCUUAUGUAUUAUUUUACCAGUUAAAACGACAUUUUGGUAGAGGAUUUUGCCUUAAUUACAUUGAGACUAAGCCUAAAUACUUGAAUGGCGUGCACAAGUGUAACCUUCUGACUGGAAGGUUUGUGUGGUGAGUGUGCUGAGGAUGUGUGUGACACAGACAGACACCGAGAGGGCAGCCUUCCUGACUCCAGAGGCCCAGAGGCUUGCUGACCUAUUUCUGCCUGAGACUAGCUGCUUCAUCACAGACAGUCACCAGCAGCAGCACCUGGACUGUGACUCUGUGUGUGUGUGUGUGACUGUGUGCAGGCGUGAACACACAUGUAAGUCAGGUAUUGCUGUACAUCGCUUUGUUGCUCACUGAUGUGAGAAUACGCUCAUUCCCUCCUCCUGUCUCCUUUCCUCACUCUCCAGCUUUUUCCUAAGGCAGCACUUUCCACUCUCUCACACACACCUGGACCUAUGCACACACACAAACGCAUCCACGGCUCUCGCCUCUUUCAAUCUCGCAGGUGCUGCCUGCUGUGAUGUCCAGUGUUGAGUGUAGCUGUAUAUGCGUUCGCAGCGGGACCAUCCACGCACGUGCUCCCUCACACGAGCCCAGCUAGCGCGCACACACCCACACGUAUCUUGGAGCAUUAAAUGUGUUCGCAGCAGGGUAAACCUGAUUCAAACAGCUAGCCAGAAAGCCUAAUGAUUGAUGAUGAGAGUGGAAUAACCGCAGCCACAGCAAAAUCACACAAACAGGUUAUCUGGGACCUUGAGGCCCUGAGCUGCUUUAGCAUAGCAGAGGACCAGCGCUUUGAAAUGUUACAGACAAAACCAAAGUCCUGCACGCAUCAUCCAAUGUGGGCACAGAUUGUGGCAGUUUUGAUACAGGUCACCAUAUAGCAUGGCCUGGCAUGGGAGGCACUACUACUACUCAAAAAAGAAUUGUUUGUUGUGACCCCAACACAUCAUCACCAGGACAGUGGCUAACUAAAUCUAGGUCUAACCAAGCUUAAUAUCGAUUUAUAGACUUGAUCUGGGCAUCUCUUUUUAAAACUUAAACUUGAAAAUAAUGUCUUAGCUUAUGAACAUGGAGCUUCUGAUGAUGAGCUUUUAAUUUUAAAAUUUAUAACUUGUCUAAAAGCUGGACUGGAAUUAGCCUAAAUUCUAUAUAUUUCUAACCUGGCUAUAACAACAACAAAAAAAAACCCCAACAGUUUCUGUCUAUGUAUUUUUUUUAAUUUAAUGGUUAAAUAAUACAAAAAAACAUUUAAUUUCUAAUAUAAGUUACAUAAUAUAAACUGCUUUUUACAAAAUGGCUCGAGGGGGUGACUCUAAGCCAAGCGUUGCCUAUCCCUAACCUUGCAUGUUAAUGCUCCUGCCUCUUUCUCCCUCUGCUUCUUUUGCAGGUACUUUGAGACAACUUUUUGCUGAAGUGCUGAGGUGGCAGGCAGGUAAGCAGGCACGUCAGCAGCGGGGCAGAGGUGCUGUUAGUCUGAUGAGCAGUAAAGCUGUCAACACCAGAAUAGCUGGGAGGAGAUGCAUUUGCUCUUAUGUUUACCAAGCUAAAAUCCAGUCUGCCUAAUAUACACCAUGUUGUGCCAAAUGCUACAGAACCUUUACAAGCCACAUUCUAAACUUUAAAGAGUGAAAUAUGAUGUGGGGUGAAGCUCAACUCUCACAAGUCGAGGCAGCCGUCGUACAUCUCCUGCUGCGUUUGGAGAGCAUCCUCGGCUGUCGAGGACUGGAUUUGUUGUUGCGAUAAACCAUGAUGAAGGUGUUUCUCUCGUACCAAAAAGUGUGAUUGGAGUCUUUCCCACUGACGUAAGCCUGAGAGGAGCGUUCUCAAAGAAAGCAGUGAUGUAAUGGAAUAUGAAGGUACUAGUCAGUCUUCUUUUUCCUUCCUCCCUCCUCCUCUAUGUCUCUUUUUCUCCCUCCCUCCUCUUCAUUUCUGUUCUUCUCUUUGUUUUUUGUUUUCUCUCGCUCUUUCUAUUUUUUGUCUUGGCAGCCUCUCCUGCUUUUACCCCUCCGGGAUCCCUGAAACCAAACCCAACAGCUCCCUCGCUUGGUGGAAACACGAAACUACGCCAAGUGUCAGCUGCUGCUUGUGUACUCUCUGUCUUCAUGUGCACAUACCUUCCAUCUGUCCACAAGUAUACUGCUGCACAUUUCUCCUCGCCAUUUCAUUUCAUUGUGUAAUAUUCCAUUCAGGAUGCCAGAUUGGUCCUUCAAUGAAUUGUUAUUUUCUAGACACAGGCAGCUCCUCUGUCAUUGUAACUGCCAAAAGCGUGAAACAUUUAUUGGACUCAAGUCCCCACUAAGGAAUCCAACGCUAAUGCUUCUCCUUCACCUCCCCUCCUCUUCUUGUCUUCCGUCCUUGUUCUCCGUCUUCAUCAAAGCGAGGAGUCACCAGCUCUCUUUGCCUCUGGGAGACCCCACAUCGAGACACACUUUCUGUCCCAGCCUUCUCUGAAGAUGCAACUGAGAAGAAAACAUUAAAGUUCUCUAACAGCUCUGAUGUUUCAUGGCGGGGACAUAAAGACAGAGCUUUUUUUCCUCAAUGACUUUUGUGACUUUCUGUCUUAUAUAUACUGUAUAUAAAACUUUAAAACAUUCA
Xiphophorus hellerii (green swordtail) is the source of this 6310-nucleotide long non-coding RNA. RefSeq lists it as uncharacterized. The record is from RefSeq and is a predicted model, not a curated record. NCBI's taxonomy places the organism in Eukaryota, Metazoa, Chordata, Actinopteri, Cyprinodontiformes, Poeciliidae. The transcript has 2 exons.